ACACAUUUUACUAAUCACUCCAAUAUUGUUUACAGAUAAUUAUUACAGACCAGCUGAAUGAAUUACAUAAAAAAUAAAGGAAAAAGAAGAAGUUAACUCUAGGGAGCCUGAAGCAAGCCCAAAAGACUUCCCCAAGCCCCCAAUAGCCUCAAAUGCCAAAGUUCCAUAGACAGUAUCAUGUCUAGGUAUAUCAGAGUUCCCCACGGACCUCAAGGAUCCCAGGUAGUGCUCACACCUAGAACUUUUCUCAAACCAUAACUGACUUAGGUGCAGUGUGGAAAGGCCAGCUCCCACAUGCAAGAGUUCAAAGAGAUAUCAAGGAUCUCACGGUAGUACACAUGCAGAGGGGUAGAACCUAACAUUUUAGGAGUAAUGUGAGAGUGUAUGACAUAACUUUGAAAUGGUUUUUAUAUGAAAUGUAGUGUUGGAAAUGGCUCAAUUAAGUAAGGAAGUUAUAUGAAAAAUAGGAAUUAAUUAGUAAUAAAAUAGUUUUCAAAAUAGUGAACUUGUGAGAAAUACACAAACCAUUCAAACACAGAUUUCACUGAAGGGGUAUGGGAAUUAGGAACACAUAGAACAUAUUAAUUUAUCAACAAGAGCACAGAAG
This 607-nucleotide long non-coding RNA is filed under the name Nicotiana benthamiana. Its description in RNAcentral is "long non-coding RNA (NBEN_LNC003890)". Lineage: Eukaryota; Viridiplantae; Streptophyta; Magnoliopsida; Solanales; Solanaceae. The record is from RNAcentral.